This 621-nucleotide ribosomal RNA is filed under the name Hypocreales sp. AF5. RNAcentral's name for it is "eukaryotic LSU rRNA". The stretch from base 221 to 374 matches the Rfam family "5.8S ribosomal RNA". The record is from RNAcentral. Lineage: Eukaryota; Fungi; Ascomycota; Sordariomycetes; Hypocreales.
ACUUGGUCAUUUAGAGGAAGUAAAAGUCGUAACAAGGUCUCCGUUGGUGAACCAGCGGAGGGAUCAUUACCGAGUUAUUCAACUCAUCAACCCUGUGAACUUACCUAUACGUUGCUUCGGCGGGAAUAGACGGCCCCGUAAAACGGGCCGCCCCCGCCAGAGGACCCUUAACUCUGUUUCUUUUAGUGCAUCUUCUGAGUAAAACAAGCAAAUAAAUUAAAACUUUCAACAACGGAUCUCUUGGCUCUGGCAUCGAUGAAGAACGCAGCGAAAUGCGAUAAGUAAUGUGAAUUGCAGAAUUCAGUGAAUCAUCGAAUCUUUGAACGCACAUUGCGCCCGCCAGUAUUCUGGCGGGCAUGCCUGUUCGAGCGUCAUUACAACCCUCAGGCCCCCGGGCCUGGCGUUGGGGAUCGGCGGAGCCCCCCGUGGGCACACGCCGUCCCCCAAAUACAGUGGCGGUCCCGCCGCAGCUUCCAUCGCGUAGUAGCUAACACCUCGCGACUGGAGAGCGGCGUGGCCACGCCGUAAAACACCCAACUCUUCUGAAGUUGACCUCGAAUCAGGUAGGAAUACCCGCUGAACUUAAGCAUAUCAAUAAGCGGAGGAAGCUGGAGUGCCUAC